UCAAGAGGACCUUUACUGUGUCUAUGUGCCGACCAACCAUCUCUACAUUGGUGAUAUCUUCAUGGUGAACUCGAAGGAUGUGAUAAGGCCUAAUCUUUCUGUGCGUGAAGGCAUUGAGAUCGUUGUGUCUGGUGGUAUGUCAAUGCCCCAGAUUUUGUCGACCCUGGAUCCACAUCCAGAUCUGCAUGCAAUCCACACAGACCGAGGUGGAGCGAGCAGAAGCUGAGGCAAACUAUAUACCUGUUCGUCGAUAUCAAGUGUAAAACUCUCAACACAGAUCACACCAGUGCGGCGAACAAGAUCCUGAGCGUGAUGCACUAGCAAUCUGUCACGCCUGAGGAUCAAAGGAUCUUGUAAUUAAGUAGAAGUAGGUAACUCACACGCAUUGUCGAUUCGAUGGAUUUUGUACAAUUGGCUUGGACUUUGUCUUUGUAAUGCCGCCCCAGAUGCUUCCUAGCCAUACUUAUAUUUUCUUACGGUUGUUCAAUUGUUUUCUUCCGGUUGUUUCGGAGUCCAAAUUAGCUUUCGGCAUCAACAAUGUCUGACUGAGGUGCCUUACUGUAAAAGAAAACGAUGCCUGCCUGAGUUGUCUUA
Molecule: long non-coding RNA, 594 nt
Organism: Triticum dicoccoides
Lineage: Eukaryota; Viridiplantae; Streptophyta; Magnoliopsida; Poales; Poaceae
Exons: 2
Source: RefSeq, a predicted model, not a curated record